GUACACUAUCUUAUAAAAUUUGUUAGAAGAAAAUUUCUUACAAGUUACAAGUAAUACAUUCUAUAGAACAAAAAGGCCUAGAAACAAUAAAAUUUGUACAAAUUUAAGCAAAAAAAAAAAACAAUUUGUAUCCAACAAAACCGUAGCAAACUAUUUAACGUACAAUAUGUUAUAGUGUAACUUGUACUAAUCACAUUUCAAGACUCAAGAGUAUAUAUUUCCAAAACGAAUUACAUUAGCAUUUUCUUAGGAAAAAAAGGGCUGAGAUUUGAUGUGAAAAUAAGAGAUAUACAAGCACUAAUUCAUCAAUCAUUGGACCUUUGAUGCGACUAUUUUGAAUAAAUAAUAAAAC
RNAcentral lists this long non-coding RNA (352 nucleotides) under Brassica napus (rape). Its description in RNAcentral is "long non-coding RNA (BNAP_LNC007147)". Lineage: Eukaryota; Viridiplantae; Streptophyta; Magnoliopsida; Brassicales; Brassicaceae. The record is from RNAcentral.